RNAcentral lists this microRNA (23 nucleotides) under Oreochromis niloticus (Nile tilapia). RNAcentral's name for it is "oni-miR-10646a". The record is from miRBase by way of RNAcentral. Lineage: Eukaryota; Metazoa; Chordata; Actinopteri; Cichliformes; Cichlidae.
AGAGCUCCUCAGAUCUGCUGGCU